CUGUAGUAUAGUUUGAAGUCUGGUAUCGCUAUACCGCCUGAUUCACACUUCUUGCUUAGCAUUGUUUUUGCUAUUCUGGGUCUUUUAUUUUUCCAUAUGAAUUUCAUGAUUGCUAAAGCUGACUUUUAAAAUCAAAACAGUAUCUUCCUGGACAGAUUUAAUAAUGCAUUCAAGCAGGCAUUUUGCCAAAUUCCUUUGAGACUGCAUUAAAUAGAAAGAUAUUUUAAACAUUCAUUUUGAUAAAUGGUACAUAGGUAAUGACCUUGUGCAAUCCACAGAGGCUCGUAUACAAUAAAAGCAUUGACUAAGAGAGAAUUUAUUAUAGUGAGAUGGAAUUAGAUUUUGGUACAUUGGAUAUUUAGUUAUUUUCCUCUGUUUUUUUUACUUCAAUUUUAGAGAGGUUUUGUUCUGAUUAUGAAAUCAAUACAUGUUCACUGUAAAAUAAUUAGAAAAUAAGAAGAAAAUAUAAAGUUGAAAACAUUUUUGGUUUAGAUAAUUUUAGAUAAAAAUGUAUUUAUAUGUAUUUAUUUUGUUUAUUUAAAUCUUAUUAUUAUAAGAUUAAAAUUAAACAGUACACACAGAUGUCUAAUUUAACAUUUAUAUCGCAUUUAUUUAAUAGAAGUAUAAAUCAUAUGUAACAAAAUUUAUUUCUCUAGCUCUCUAGAGUUAGAUAUUUAUGUAGUUUCCUUGUGGUUUCUAUUAUAAGUGAUUCUUUGAUGAACAUUUGUGCACUUAAGUCUUGCUAGCUCUUUUUUAAUUAUAAAAAUAUUUAAGCAAAUUGUAAUAUGAUUAUAAAUCAUGUCAAAUUCCUAAGAACAGAGCUUGGAUAAGAAACUAGAAGAACUGUUAAAUACUCUAGCCAAAUAGUCUAAAAAUUUUCUUCAUAAAAUUUGUUCCAGUGCUUACUCACAUGAUCAUCUUAGGAUAAUCUCUUUCCUGCACAUUAAUCAAUUUUGGUAAUUUAUCAUUUUAUAAUCCAUGCAUUUCUAUGGGAGAACAAAUUUACUAAUAAUAUUAUAUUGUGCAAGUCUUAUUUUAAUAAGCCUUUUUCCUCCAAAGUCAUAUUUAUAUUUCUAAUCUGUAGGGAAAUAUGUUCAUCAGGAAAUGAGGAGUGCAUCUCUUCCUUUAUGGUAUCAUCCCUGGUUUUUCUCUUAAAUACACUGACUUUCUCUUACUAAUUGCUCACAGGGUCUUGAAUAUACCAUGGUUGCUGGUACCUCUAGGACUUUGGGCAGUUUCCUGUUCUCCUGGCUCUCUUCUCCCUCCUGGCUCUAGCUUCCUCCUACUCACUCAUCGUCUAAGGCAUCUUUCCUGGUCAUCCCUUGGUUUUUGGUUCUUGGUUCUUAAACACAGCUCUAAAAUAAUAUCUUCCUCUCUACCAGAGAUUGUCCAAUUUAUUGUGUUCUUGAUUAAACUGUGAAAUCCUCAUGACUCAGAUUUUAUUUGAAUAUAAUAGGAAAGUACCCAACACAAGCCUGGCUUUCAACAAAUGUUGGCUGGGUCACUUAUGUAUUACGU
RNAcentral lists this long non-coding RNA (1518 nucleotides) under Marmota monax (woodchuck). Lineage: Eukaryota; Metazoa; Chordata; Mammalia; Rodentia; Sciuridae. The record is from RNAcentral.